This 424-nucleotide long non-coding RNA is filed under the name Struthio camelus australis. RNAcentral's name for it is "lncRNA (ENSSCUG00000017093.1)". The record is from RNAcentral. Lineage: Eukaryota; Metazoa; Chordata; Aves; Struthioniformes; Struthionidae.
CUAUAAACCAAGACAAGUUCAAGGUACAAGCAUCAGAAGAAAGGAAGCACUCCAAAGAAGUGAUUUUAAAACAGCUUUCCUGAACUGUUAGACAAGCUUCUAAGGACACUAAUAGGGGUCAGCAACUAGUGCUAAAUCUGGCCCUAAAUGUCAGGCGUUCAGCUGCGAAGAAAUGACUGUCUUGUUGCACCUGUAAGAGAGAACUCAACAUGAACAUGAGAUGGGAGAAAGUUCAGUAUUAUAAACACGAUGAGCGCAAGAAAACGGGUCUGUAUUUGUCAUCUUCGUUGUGGAAAAUAGCAGGAAAGUGCUUCCCGUCAGGGGCCCGACGCACGCUAGAAAAGACGUUGCAGAAGGGAGAUACGAAGCUGUGAAGAGUCAAGGUCAGUUAAUUGUGCCUGGGUUCAAUGAAGCUCUAACUCUA